This 702-nucleotide long non-coding RNA is filed under the name Rattus norvegicus (Norway rat). RNAcentral's name for it is "long non-coding RNA NONRATT014557". The record is from RNAcentral. Lineage: Eukaryota; Metazoa; Chordata; Mammalia; Rodentia; Muridae.
CCACAGUGCCUGCCUUUUCAAGUUUUAUGUUGUUGGUCUGAUGCUGGGGAUGGAACCCAUGACCUUUUACAGCCAUAUGUAUCCCUCUCAGUGAGGUCUGAGGGACUGGGCUCCCAAGCUGUCAAUGAGGAGUCAUAGGGAUGACGGUCUCUAAAUUCUGAAGCAACAGGAACACAGCCCUAGUAUUUGAGGGUGCCCUCAGCUGCAUCCUGUCACAGCAGGCUGAGCACUGCCAUUUGAGUGGAGGGGAUGUAAGGCCCCUUGCAGCCAGGUGGGAACACCACCUUCGCUUGAGUAGCAUUUCUGUGCUUUUGCCCCAACUCUGGGUCCCAGUAUAACAAUCCUAGGUAUGGCCACCAGGUGACAAAGCAGCCUGGGAGGCCCUAGGUGGCACCACGGGUACCUUGCUCAGCCACCUGAGCACUCAGCAUUUCUCUCCUCUGCUUUCAACUUCCAGGUUCCAAAAGUGGCAGGAAGCCCCCUGGACCUUCACCCUCGGCCUGCUGUCCCUCCACUACGGCCUAGGAGCUUGGAGUGGGGAGGACCAUGGUGGCACCGUUGUCAGGGGUCUGGACACAGGCAUGCUGGAGACUGGACCUUGCUUAGGAUUGAGGCUGGCCACAGUCUUGUCAGAGGUUACCUUCCCCAACCCUGGCCCUGCUUGUGUUGUUGCCUCAGUGUCUAAUAAAUGCUAAGAAGUGG